UUUUAAAGCUUUUUACGGGAAAUGAAGCAAGACCGAGUGGAGCUUGGGGGUUCUGACGAACGAGGUCUGGUUAUACCGACAUGGGUGUAAGUAUACUACCCCUAAGCUCUUCCUGAUGCCUUUAACCUCAUUCGGCUUUCUAACUCAUUUUCCUUUGUGCAGUUAUAAUUUUCAAACCCGAGGGGGCAGAUGCCACCCUGAUUCCACUAUUGAACACUGCCGGACCGAUCCGCCUACCUAUCUUCGAAGAUAACGGUGAAGAGGAGACUGUGUCGAUUGCUGAACUCUCUACCGGCUCCACAUCGGGUCCACGCCCUACAACUGCCCCCACCGAUCCAUCUACCAAGGUUGCCCUAAAAAUGAGCCGAUCUGAGAAGAUGGCAUUAUUAAAGAAGACCAAGAAGCCCUCCAAGCCUCUCUCCAAAGUUCCCGCUAAGGCCCCUCCUAAGGCUGUGCCGAAGCCAACUCCUCCACCCCCCACUUAGGUCGCGGUGAUCGAGGAUUCAGAGGACAACGAAGAGGUUCCUCUGGAACCCCGACCUUAGAAGCCACGACUAACUGAAGACUCUGAGCAACAACAAGUUGCUGUGACCGAUCCCGUCGUCACCACUACGUCUUCUUCCCACCCUAGUUCUUCUCACGGAUCGCCGACCACCUGUUGGCCAAAGGGUCCUUUGGAAGUGUUUCCCUUCACCAUGUUUGAUCACUUCAAGCUCUUGGGUGAUGACAAAUGGUUCAAGGGAUUCUCUUCCGAAGAGUAUCUUGUGGCUUACGUCCGAGCUCAGUGCCAGGUAAUUCAGAAAUUGUUUAUCUUCUUGUUGUAAACUUAUACUUUUACUUCGAUAACUGAUGUAUGUGUUUGUUGUAGGCCAACGCCAUUCUCACUCGAGUCAUCCCUCCUCUCGCCC
This 908-nucleotide long non-coding RNA is filed under the name Panax ginseng (ginseng). Its description in RNAcentral is "long non-coding RNA (PGIN_LNC017634)". Lineage: Eukaryota; Viridiplantae; Streptophyta; Magnoliopsida; Apiales; Araliaceae. The record is from RNAcentral.